GACCAAUCAGCGCCUCGCGGUCCCUCUGUAAACCAUUCUGCAUCCCCCGGCCCGGGAGAGUGCGGGGAGACCGCGUUUAGAGGAUCAGUGGCGGCGGCACCCGCGGCCCCGCGCGGCGCGGACGGCGGGCAGCACCGUGCCUGGGCCCCCUCCUGCUCCGAACAGCCCAAGGAGCAGAAAAGAGUGACAAGGCCGUGAAAGGAGGCGCCUGGGGCGUAGCCGGCUCUAGGAGGUUACCCCAUGCGGAGUACACACCCUGCUACACCCAUCCCGGAGGAGGGAGGAAAUAGCCAGCCCGGAGCACCCCUGGACUCUGCCGGUCCCAGAGGCCACGCAAACUCCGCCCAGACUCGGUGAGGCCGCGGUAAUGCCACGCAGGGAACUGCGUGGAUAAGGUCGCUCGGAUCUGAGCGCCAAGGUCUCCCGCCUCUCCUUCCCGUCUAGUUCUCUCCGGACUCAAAUUGCCUUAAUCUCACCCAUCACUCUCUCAUGGAAAUGAUCUACUCGUGUGCAGUACUUCACAGCUUGUAUCACGGUCUCCCCUGAACCGUAUAGCAAGAGGGUGGUGGGGGGUGGAAGAGAAGGGUACUAUCUCCACUUUCCCGGCCAGGAGGCCCAAGUUAGGAGGCUUGUCCGAGAUCCCUAGGUCAGAGCACUAUUUAAGGUGAGAAGUUGGGUGGGGAGCUUGGCACCUUGCUCCAGUGUGCACUUUGCGCCUGGCCAUGUUUUAUAAGCAAGGGGGGCUUGGGCUGGUUAAGGGGGAGCAGGGACCGCAGGGCCAGGAAAGGGCAGCAUCCGGCAGGCCGGGGCGUCACGGUAUGUGCCUGGCCUGGGUAAACAACUCUGGCUUCCCACGAGCGCUGGAGGGACCCUGGGCAUGGGGCAGGGGCGUGGGGGAGGG
This 901-nucleotide long non-coding RNA is filed under the name Homo sapiens (human). RNAcentral describes it as "non-protein coding LHX1-DT:14". Lineage: Eukaryota; Metazoa; Chordata; Mammalia; Primates; Hominidae. The record is from RNAcentral.